GCCCUGGGGGCGCAGGGUCACCCCGCGCUGCUCUGCAAGCAGGGGGUGAGGGGUUCGAGUCCCCUGGGCUCCA
This 73-nucleotide transfer RNA is filed under the name Actinomycetota bacterium. Its description in RNAcentral is "Actinobacteria bacterium tRNA-Ala". Lineage: Bacteria; Bacillati; Actinomycetota. The record is from RNAcentral.